Molecule: small nuclear RNA, 109 nt
Organism: Ochotona curzoniae (black-lipped pika)
Lineage: Eukaryota; Metazoa; Chordata; Mammalia; Lagomorpha; Ochotonidae
Source: RefSeq, a predicted model, not a curated record
UAUAUCUGCCUUUCCAAUAAAAAUAAAAUAAAUCUUUAAAAAAAAAAAAAGAUUAGCAUGGCCCCUGCGCAAGGAUGGCUUGCAAAUUCGUGAAGCACUCCAUAUUUAA